UUUAGUAAUUGCGAAUGAACAAGGAUAUGCUUAGCUUGACAAAUGGAGCUAUUGGCUUUGAAUUGUAUUGUGGAAAUGUAUUACCAACAGAGGUGCAGGUGCCAGCCUAUUGAAAUAAAGCGUCAAUGAGGGUGAGAAUCCUGUUUGUCAUGUGCAGCCCUUUGUGCACGGUGUAUAUUUGCUGAGUCACACUCCUUGGCAUUGGAAUGCAAAGUGGGUGGUAAGUUUCAUGUAAAGGUAAACAUGCAAUUGAGACUGAUAGCACACAAGUACCAUGAGGGAAAUAUGAAAAGGACUUUGAAAAGAGAAUUAAAUGAGUUUGUAUUUGCUGAACACAAAGUAAACAGACUUGAUUUGCUUGGUGGGAGUGUUGCACUUGCUUGACAAGAGCUUUGGGCUGUGGGUGUAAUGAUUCUUUCUUUGCAUGCCAGUUUCUAUUUGUACAUCUGAUUACCUUUGCACAUGAAUGAUAAGUCUCCUGUGGGGGGUGGAUUGCAUGUGCAUGUAAUGAUUUGUGUUUUGAUAAAUGUGUCUGGUGUAUGUGUGUGUUCCUGUGCUUGGGGAUGCUUCCUUCCUUGGACUUACAAGCCCUGACACACACAUGCUGGCAAAAUGCUUCUGCUUGACCCGUCUUGAAACACGGACCAAGGAGUCUAACAGAUGUGCAAAGUUUGAAGGUGGUAUACCUUUGUGUGCAAUGAAAGUGUCAGCUGGGAUAUGUGCACCAGCACCCAAUUAAUUAGCGGACAGAGGUUUGAGUUGGAGCAUAUCUAUUAGGACCCGAAAGAUGGUGAACUAUGCCUGAACAGAAUGAAUUCAGAGGAAACUCUGAUGGAGGUUCGUAUCGAUACUGACGUGCAAAUCGUUCGUCAUAUUUGGGUAUAGGGGCGAAAGACUAAUCGAACCAUCUAGUAGCUGGUUCCCUCCGAAGUUUCCCUCAGGAUAGCUGGAGUUGCUCAGUUUUAUCAGGUAAAGCGAAUGAUUAGAGGAAUUGGGGACAGGUUUGUCUUUGACCUAUUCUCAAACUUUAAAUGGGUAAUAUGUAGUGGUUGCUGUAUGG
RNAcentral lists this ribosomal RNA (1060 nucleotides) under Alexandrium catenella. RNAcentral describes it as "partial large subunit ribosomal RNA". It matches the Rfam family "Eukaryotic large subunit ribosomal RNA", at positions 79 to 1097 of the family's 3401-position model. The record is from RNAcentral. Lineage: Eukaryota; Dinophyceae; Gonyaulacales; Pyrocystaceae.